AGUGAACGCUGGCGGUAGGCCUAACACAUGCAAGUCGAACGGCAGCACAGUAAGAGCUUGCUCUUACGGGUGGCGAGUGGCGGACGGGUGAGGAAUACAUCGGAAUCUACUUUUUCGUGGGGGAUAACGUAGGGAAACUUACGCUAAUACCGCAUACGACCUACGGGUGAAAGCAGGGGAUCUUCGGACCUUGCGCGAUUGAAUGAGCCGAUGUCGGAUUAGCUAGUUGGCGGGGUAAAGGCCCACCAAGGCGACGAUCCGUAGCUGGUCUGAGAGGAUGAUCAGCCACACUGGAACUGGGACACGGUCCAGACUCCUACGGGAGGCAGCAGUUGGGAAUAUUGGACAAUGGGCGCAAGCCUGCUCCAGCCAUACCGCGUGGGUGAAGAAGGCCUUCGGGUUGUAAAGCCCUUUUGUUGGGAAAGAAAAGCAGCAGGUUAAUACCCCGCUGUUCUGACGGUACCCAAAGAAUAAGCACCGGCUAACUUCGUG
RNAcentral lists this ribosomal RNA (492 nucleotides) under uncultured bacterium. Its description in RNAcentral is "partial 16S ribosomal RNA". It matches the Rfam family "Bacterial small subunit ribosomal RNA", at positions 29 to 507 of the family's 1533-position model. The record is from RNAcentral.